UUGAAACUUUAAAAUAUUUAUUAAUAUUCAAUUUAUUUACAUUUCAAUAGUAAACACUACUAUGACAAUGGGUACAUAUUCAUGACAAUGGGUACAAAUUUGAUUUUUUUGCACCCCUGUUGACCUUGGUCAACAGGGGUCACACCCUUGUGCACCCCCCUAUACAUCCACCCCUGACUACACCAUCCUCAACAGGGUCGUGCAGGCAAAAAAAAAUGCUGUACCAUCAGUAUUCAAAUUGGAAUUCAAACUGCAAAGCAUACCAAAAGAGGCUAGAAGCCAACAGAAAAUGCCUGAAGGAAGUUCAACCCAUCAAGGCCAUAAACAUCCAAUUAUGUCACAUGAGCAACUAUUGUCCAGGGUUGGUAGGUUUGCUGAAUAACUAGGCCAAACACCGUCACACUAGGCCUUUGUGUUCUAAUAGUGCACCAGUGAUGAUUUGGCCUAAUUAUUCAUCUAACUUACCAACCCUGCUAUUGUCAACAACAAUAUCAUCACAUAAUACAGGAAGGUAUUAAUAGCAGAAGUGUAACUCAAGCAAAAAUCUGUCCGUGUUUUUCAAUGCACAUGAGCGAUAAGCCUGACAACACAGCUGACACCAAUAUUACGCCAUCAUUUGCCAUCCUGGCAAGUACAACUGGUACUUUGUACUUUACCGGCUGUUUUAGCCAGGAUGGCGUGGAUUGGUGUGAGCAAGUUAAAAUUUCAGUAGACAAAAACAUCAAAGGCACCAACUCAAGAUACACUUCUGCUAUACCUUCCUAUUGUGUGAUAUCAUAAUCACUGCUAUGGAAAACGGCAAAAACUAAUACAACAGACACCACUGCAGGCAAUCAAUAAUUCACUUCAAGAUCAAGAAAUUUCUAAAAAACAAUUAAAACAUAAAAUUAAAAACUUACAGCAGCAAUUGCAAAGAUGUAAGAAGAUAGGGAACAUGGCACAAUUUAUUGACAGACUGCAAGAAGAGUUCAUCAUAAAAUCGGUGUGAUAUAAAAUAGUCAUAAAUAUGUGUGAAAGUUUUGUCAUCUGGUCGAAAAUUAUGUCAUUGAAAUCGUGAGAAAAUACUAUAAUUAAGAUGUACCACUUACUUAACUAGUUAGUUUUAUUAAAAGCAGAUAUUUACUUUUUAUAAACUAAUUCUAUCACGUUUUCUUCAUGAGUCACGAGCGAUUCCUUUACUGUUUUACACUUCACAGUACGGCAAGCACUGCAGCGAGUCUGUUGUGCAGAAUUGAGAAUGGAAUACCCAGUACAUGACAGGCCUCGUUUAAACAAGUUGAUCUUGUUUAAAAACCAAUAGUUAUCAUGAAAAAAGUAAAAAUAAUUCAAUACUUAUCUUGUAAUCAAUUAUUCGUCGACUGGAGUCCACAAAUAUAAUUGAAACUGAAGCAAUUCGUCGCUGUUGGAACGUUCGACUUUUUUUAUUGAAGUCACCAAUAUUUAAACGAUGCCGCUUGAUAUCCUUGUAAAAUAACUUUAAUACACGAUUGAUUGUAUCUUAUUACCAAGAAAUAUAUUUCGUAUUAUAAUUGCUGUCAAAAGAAUGCAAAUAUCUUAUAUAAUUGAAAUAAAAAACCCCAAAUUUGUCGGUCUUUCAAUAUAAAAUAAAAUCGCGCCAUUACCAUGCGUUCUCUGCCGACCGACACUUCGUGACAAACCCACGCAAAAAACACGCAUUACUGGCCGCCAUCUUGGCUUCGGGCAAGUAUGGGC
This 1713-nucleotide long non-coding RNA is filed under the name Paramuricea clavata. The record is from RNAcentral. Lineage: Eukaryota; Metazoa; Cnidaria; Anthozoa; Malacalcyonacea; Plexauridae.